GCGGAAGUGGCGGAACUGGCAGACGCGCUGGAUUUAGGUUCCAGUGGGUAACACCGUGGGGGUUCAAGUCCCUUCUUCCGCACCA
Molecule: transfer RNA, 85 nt
Filed under: Peptococcaceae bacterium
Lineage: Bacteria; Bacillati; Bacillota; Clostridia; Eubacteriales; Peptococcaceae
Description: tRNA-Leu
Rfam family: tRNA
About the family: Transfer RNA (tRNA) molecules are approximately 80 nucleotides in length.
Source: RNAcentral